CCUGGCUAAGGGAGCUUGCUCCCUGAUGUUAACGGCGGACGGGUGAGUAACACGUGGGUAACCUGCCUGUAAGACUGGGAUAACUCCGGGAAACCGGGGCUAAUACCGGAUGCUUGUUUGAACCGCAUGGUUCAAACAUAAAAGGUGGCUUCGGCUACCACUUACAGAUGGACCCGCGGCGCAUUAGCUAGUUGGUGAGGUAACGGCUCACCAAGGCAACGAUGCGUAGCCGACCUGAGAGGGUGAUCGGCCACACUGGGACUGAGACACGGCCCAGACUCCUACGGGAGGCAGCAGUAGGGAAUCUUCCGCAAUGGACGAAAGUCUGACGGAGCAACGCCGCGUGAGUGAUGAAGGUUUUCGGAUCGUAAAGCUCUGUUGUUAGGGAAGAACAAGUACCGUUCGAAUAGGGCGGUACCUUGACGGUACCUAACCAGAAAGCCACGGCUAACUACGUGCCAGCAGCCGCGGUAAUACGUAGGUGGCAAGCGUUGUCCGGAAUUAUUGGGCGUAAAGGGCUCGCAGGCGGUUUCUUAAGUCUGAUGUGAAAGCCCCCGGCUCAACCGGGGAGGGUCAUUGGAAACUGGGGAACUUGAGUGCAGAAGAGGAGAGUGGAAUUCCACGUGUAGCGGUGAAAU
RNAcentral lists this ribosomal RNA (638 nucleotides) under Bacillus sp. SCULCB PT-1. RNAcentral describes it as "bacterial SSU rRNA". It matches the Rfam family "Bacterial small subunit ribosomal RNA", at positions 65 to 687 of the family's 1533-position model. The record is from RNAcentral. Lineage: Bacteria; Bacillati; Bacillota; Bacilli; Caryophanales; Bacillaceae.